RNAcentral lists this long non-coding RNA (6976 nucleotides) under Zea mays. RNAcentral's name for it is "long non-coding RNA (ZMAY_LNC004304)". Lineage: Eukaryota; Viridiplantae; Streptophyta; Magnoliopsida; Poales; Poaceae. The record is from RNAcentral.
UCCUCAACCCUAGCCGCCACCCCCCAUCUCCUCUUCUCCAAGUGUCGUUCUUCCUCGUCGGAUCUUCUUCGUGUGGGUGCAAGUUUCAAUUGGAGAAUUGGUGGGAGGAAGGAAGGAGGAAAAAGGUGGAACUCAAGGUGGUGGACUUCCAAAUCGUACUUAGGGAUUUGCCCAAACUUCCGGCAAAGGCAAGUAAAUACAGUGGUGGUUGCUACCGUUUGGUUUGCAUCCUAUUCCCUGUCAUUGAGUAUGCAUAAGUUUUAAUUAUGUUAAUCAUUGAAUUCUAUGAUGAAGUUUAUUUGUUUGGAAGUAUUAAUUCUCAAUUGUCUAAUAUUGUGGAUGAUCAUAAUUUGGUAAUGAUAUAUGUGGUUGAUUCCCAUCUUGGAUGAAGUUGAAGUAUCUUUUUGAAUCACGUUAUAGGAAGUGUUGUAGGCAUGACAUGCACAUCGCAUCAUCCAUCUUGCAUUUUGAAGUUAUGUCGUGAUCUUAUGGUCCGACCGUACCGGUACACUUUUAGCAUCGUACGUUGCCCGAGGAGGGGUACGAUGCGGCUUCAUAUCCUUAGAGGUAUGAAGGCAGAAGUCAUCCUUGCAUUUGCAGACAUUUGCACUCAUGAGGUAUAUAUGAAGUGUGACAUUACUAUGUUACUAUUGUGGUUUCUACCUGCGAGGUGUGGUAACUAGGUGUGUUGUACAUUGUAUUCGUGCUGCACCUACGUAAUAAGGAGGUUGUAAAAUCAAAUGGUGGUAAAACAAUGUUCUUAUGUGGUUAAACAGUUUGUUAUUAUUUUGCUUGCUGAGAUGUGUCAUCUCACUCUUGCAUUACUCAAUGCAGGUACUUGAUACAUGUUGGGAAUGAGGGGAGUAGCAUCACGUCCACUUUCACUCUCAUAAUAAUGCUGCCAGGCGCAGCCAGGAUAUAAUUAGAAACUUGUGUCAAAGGAUGUUUGUUUUUCUUAACUAGUCGUGCGCGCUGGUUAAUUCAGCUCUUGUCGUAUGUUUAACUUCUUGUUGCUAGCCGAUUAAUUUUACUUAGUAUGUUUUUUUGUCAUGAUAUAUGUUUAUACACUGUUGCCCCCCCCCCAUUUAUGCAAUUUUGCAAGGGAGAUGCUGCCGAAAUUUUAUAUACGGAUGUUAGAAGUGUAGUUCAGUAGCAUUCCGGGGUGUUUGUGGAUCCCGGGGUGUUACAGUUGGUAUCAAAGCAUAGACUUUAGAUUCUACGCAAUUUGAAGAUAAAUUUGACACACUUGCACAUAUAGGAAGGGUAUGGGUUCGUAUAUCUUUCAUAUUAGUAUUUUAUUGUAUAGAUGACUAGAAUUCCCUUACCCCGAAUCCCUUUAUGGUUUGAUGGGGUAUGUCGUUAACGACUUAAUGUUUGAUAUGAUAUGUUACUUCUAAUUAAUAUUGGGUUCUUGAUGUGGUUGUUAUUGAAGUUAUUAUGCAAGUGAAGCUACUAAUGUACUUGUUUUGUAUACAUAUCGUCGUGAUGUUUUUUUAUGCGAUGUUUUUCAAAUCUUUGAGCUAUUACUAUCAUAUAUUUCUAUAUGCUUGAUUGUGGUUGUUUUUUUUAAUGGAUUUUUUGGGGUUCUAGUACUUGUAGGACCGAUUGUUUAUUGAGUCUGUGUAUAGUGGGUCUAAUCCGGCUUGGUGUGGUGUGAAAACACUAUAUAAUGUAGUUUUAUCAUGUUGUUGGGUCUGAUUGAAUGUUGGGCUACAACCCAACUUAUCAAUGUAAUAUUUCCAUGGAGGCAAUGCUUUGCGCCUCACUUUUUUUAGGAUAGUGUGGCUACUUGCUAACUUGAUCUUAGUAUAAAAUUGGUUUGUCUCUAAAGAGCAGAGGCAAUGUUGUAAUGUCUAUGAAAUCUUUAGACUGGUAGAACUUGAGUGAAUUUGUGAGAUGACGUAGAUUGAUAAGUCCAACCAUGUCUACCUGCUGGGUUUUCUUAUUAUGUGCAACCUUAUUUUUAACAUUAAAUAGGGUGGUUUCAAGUGGAUUUUAUGUCAUGCAUGUUUUCCUUCUAUGGCUUGUUUCAAUAGCCAUAAAGGCUAUGCAUAAUUUUUAGUUGUUGCAGGCUAGUCAUGUGGGAGAUAUUGACAACCCAUUUUAUAUUUUUUUAUUUUUAUUUGCCAACAUUGUACUACUUUGAAUGCAUCCUGUGAUAUCACGAGGUACAAAUUGUUCUAGUGCAGUAAUAGUAGGUUUUGUUGUAUGUGAGGUUAAUCAAGAUAGUUUGGUUAUGUGGAUUGUCUUAUUGACGUCCAAUUACUCCUGUUGAGCAUAGUAUCAUGUUAUUAUUUUAGUAUUGAAAGUAAUAUUUAUGAAGCUUUUGCAUGAGUCUGUGUCAAGAAGUACAUUAGUUUUUCUUGUUGUUAUCCCUCCAUUGCUUUAUGAGUGUUGCAAAUUUUAUCUUUUUUGAGAGGAGAAAAAGACGUUAUAUGACAUGAGCACCAUUUGCUUCACGUCAACAGAAUAGUUGUGGAGGUCUCUAGUAGUUGAAUUCUAGUGUAAUAACAACCAUGUUUUAUAGUGCUAGAGACGGGUAUGUCAGGUGUUUCAUACAUUGUCGCUACGUGGAUAUUUGACCUUAGUGGCAUUAACAAACGAGGUUGUUGAAUUCGUUGAUUGUUAUGCUUAGUGUUCUAACCUAUUAGGUAAAGUGUUGUUUAAAGACUUUGGGGAGUUGCAUCCCCAUUUGGUAGUGGGAAAUCCUAGUGUUGAUUGCACCUGCCAAUGCCUUGGGUUUCAUUUUAUAUUGUUUUUUUAUUGUGGUUAAGGUGUUGCUUGGUUUUGGGAGUCAUUUUAAAUUAGUUGGAGGCUGAAUCAGGCUUCACUUAUCUAGAAUGUUUUGUAGUAGGUUUCUUCAUGUUUGCAUAUGAUGCUUAAUCACCCAGUUUGGUUUAAACAUUUGAGAGUUAUGGGUUUCCUAUAGCAGCCUUAAUUUUGUACGGAAGAAUAGACCUUGAAGAUGGUAUAAUUUGGUCUUUGUUGGAUUGUGAAAGUUUUAGUAAUUUCAUGAUCUUUCCAAAGAGUAUUGGUUUGUAAUUUUCAUUGUAUAUAAUUGGAGUUAGGCUGCUCUGAAGUUGUUGCACCGUUGUGUCUGAACUUUAGGUGUCGUUAUAACCACCAAUAAAUCGACCGUGUUUUGAUAGUUUCAUAGCCCAAAUUUCGGAAUUCUCUUUAAGCAAAACUUUAGUUCUUCUCAGUACCUUUUAAAUGGGUAUUUACUUGUAAUUGUCUGUUAAAUAGAUUGGGAGAGGUGGUUGUCCGGUUAUAAGUCGAAUCUCCAAUGUGCAGUAUCUCGGGCUGAGUUUAGUUGUAGGUCAUGCAGAGUUGAGGGCUAUAAAGAUAAAUUCGGGUGCAACUUUAUUGCAAAAGUCGUGGACAAUUUUCAAACUUUUCCAAUGCGUGUUCGUUGUAGUUUUAAGUUGAGUAUAGGAGGAGUUAUAGGUUUUUGAAUUUUAGUUGUCCAUUGUUUCCAUCCUAUCAGUUUUGCAACAAAAGAGUUGCAUUAUUUAUCGGUUUGAAAACCAAUUUCGAGACACUCAUUAUAAUAAAAGUUUUACAGAAUGUUAUAAUCUUUUCAAUGGGCUUAUAUUUGCAAAAUUUUGUUAAGCUGCAGGGAGUUAUGAUAUUUUGAAUUUAUGUGUCAUGUUUCGUCAGUUUCUGGUGGCAGAUCAUGUAUGUCGCCUUACAAGUCAAAUUAAAAAUGGUAGAUGAAAAAAAAUUGUUGUUUAUCCUUUGAAUACGAAAGUUGUAGAUCAUGAAGUUUAGAUGAUUUUACAAUAUUUCAUUGUUACCAUUGCUUUUAUAGUGAGAGGUAGAAAAAAAUGAACAUUUGUGCUAUUGAUUGUCAAUUUUCUAUUUAGUGAUUUUUUUCAUGGGAGUUUGGUUUAGUUGUGGUGAGCUCUUUCGCAAUCCAUGUUAAUUAAGUUGUAUGAUGGGAGGGAAUAGACGUAGUGAUUGGGAUGGUUAUCUUGUUUAUGUAUAUGUGGAGCGUGGGCUGAAACACAGAGAUAGCAAGGAACGUUUGAAUAGGCUAGUACGUAUUGUUGUGAAGCCACAUUUUCUUAUAUUGGCGUGAUUGCGUAAGUAUGAAAUAGUUACGUCAUGAGAAGUCUAGGUUGAGAUGCAAUUUGUCUGAGUUAUUCGAUAGAUAUAUAUAUAUGUAUAGUAUAAUUAAAAAAAAGAGUUCCUAUAUGGGAUGAUAUAAUGUAUAGAAUGUGCUUGGAUGAAUAUGUGGGCAGGCCUAACAUGCUUAAACAGAUUCCUGUUUGCAUGAUGUGAGAUUAGGCUUAAAUGGUUUAAAAAGUUAUCAUAUUGCUUCUAUACUUAUAUUUGUUCUAAGUAUCUCGUAAUGAAGAACCUAAAGUUAUUAGUCUUUCGAUGAACGCUUAAUCUUAGAAGAGUAAUGAACCUGAAUAAAAUCUAUUGCUUGUUGUUGGGACUGCAUGACCAGUUUUAGUUAUGCAGCUAGUUCAAUGAAGUAAACCAUCUUUUCUGUAGAGAUGUUAUAUAUAAAAGUUGUAGCCGACUUCUUUAUCUUACUUGUGUAAAAAUUUCAUGACCAUAGGUCUAGUAGUUUGAGAGUUAUGAUUUUCUCAAGUCCAGUCUUGGAAUCUGUGCAGAUUCUGUAUAGAUUUCGAAACUGACCUUGUUUGCCCAAUUUAAACUUCGAAUAACUUAUUAUAAAUUAUAAAGAAGUUGUAGUAUCUUUCUUAAUAUUUUCAACAAAUUUUGGAUCAUCCUUUUUGGAGAUCUAUAAGUAAAGUUACAGCUGUUUUAAGAGUGAUCUCUGAAUCUGUCUAAAUUUGGACAGCAGAGCCUUUCUCAUGUCUUUUGACCUUGAUAUGCAUUGAAUUAACCUGAUAUGUUUAUAAAUGAACUAUAGACAAUUCUACUAGCUUUCUAAAAAGUCUAGGAGCACCUGAAUUGGAUAACUGAGACUCCAAUUAUGGAUUUUUUAAUUUGAGUAGUUGAACUCUGUCCAAGUCUGGAUAGAAUUUACGUUUAGUAUUGUUUGACCUUUCUAAGUGUCAAAUCUUGCUGUGAAGAUAAUACCAAGGGUAUAGUGGACUUUAUAAGCUUUCCAUAAAGUCCUAGUUUAUUAUUUUUGGAUGCUUAUUUUAUGAGUUAUGAACAAAACAAUUAACCGUUGUGCUGCUAUCCAGAAAUAUGCAAGCAUUAAGUUGCUCUCUUGAAGUUGCUCUUGUUUGGCUAAGUUUGUUUUAGGCUAUAGGAACACUAUAUGCAGUGCAUUCAUAUAUACAUUCCUUGAAGUACUUGCAUAUGUCAAUGAUUGAUUUGGUGCCAGGAAAGCUUUGUCCGAGGUAUAUAGGACCGUCUACUAUCUUAGCCGAGUUGGCAGCUGGGCUUAACACAUGCAAUUGUCAGAAUCUAUGAUCAGAGUACACCAUGUAUUCCAUGUCUUUAUGUGGAGGAAGUAUUUGCGGAAUCCAGACCAUCAAAUCGAGCUAGAGCUGAUUCCUGUGUAGCAAGACCAGACUCUAGAGUGUCGUCUACUGCAUAUCUUAGAAUCCUAGGAGCUUGAGGAGCUGAUGCGGUAGAAGUACCCGAACUUUUCUUUAUGUGUGAGUUUUGUUGGUUCAUUAUUCUUUCCUUUGUCGUUCCGAUAGAAGCAUCGGAAUUCGAGGUCGAAUUCUUUUUAAGGGGGGUAGAGUGUGAUACCCAAUUUUCAAAAAGAAGAGAAAUUGAAGUUUACUCUUUUUUUCUUUGUUUUCUCUUGCGGGUCCCGUGCUAUGGGGGGUUUGGAAUUUUAGGAGGUAAACAUCUGUAAAACAGUAAAAUUUAUGUUUGAUGUGUGCGCGGGGGUCGAGAGCUCUGGCGUAGGAAUGGUUUUGGGCCGUUGAUCGCGAUCCGGCGGUGGGAAGCCCACUUCCCCCCCCCCCCCCCAAAAAAACCCUAGCCGCCCCCUCUCUUAAGGCCCCUUGACGGCAGCCGCCUCCCCCUUUCCCUCCUUUGGCCGUCACCCUCUUCCCUCUUCCCUCUUCUCUCUUCCCCAAGUGCUGCAGCCGCCCCCUCUCCAUUCUCAAGUUUUUUGCAGCAGCCAUCUUCUCAACCCUAGCCGCCACCCCCAUCUCCUCUUCUCCAAGUGUCGUUCUUCCUCGUCGGAUCUUCUUCGUGUGGGUGCAAGUUUCAAUUGGAGAAUUGGUGGGAGGAAGGAAGGAGGAAAAAGGUGGAACUCAAGGUGGUGGACUUCCGGAUCGUACUUAGGGAUUUGCCCAAACUUCCGGUAAAGGCAAGUAAAUACAGUGGUGGUUGCUACCGUUUGGUUUGCAUCCUAUUCCCUGUCAUUGAGUAUGCAUAAGUUUUAAUUAUGUUAAUCAUUGAAUUCUAUGAUGAAGUUUAUUUGUUUGAAAGUAUUAAUUCUCAAUUGUCUAAUAUUGUGGAUGAUCAUAAUUUGGUAAUGAUAUAUGUGGUUGAUUCCCAUCUUGGAUGAAGUUGAAGUAUCUUUUUGAAUCACGUUAUAGGAAGUGUUGUAGGCAUGACAUGCACAUCGCAUCAUCCAUCUUGCAUUUUGAAGUUAUGUCGUGAUCUUAUGGUCCGACCGUAUUGGUACACUUUUAGCAUCGUAUGUUGCCCGAGGAGGGGUACGAUGCGGCUUCAUAUCCUUAGAGGUAUGAAGGCAGAAGUCAUCCUUGCAUUUGCAGACAUUUGCACUCAUGAGGUAUAUAUGAAGUGUGACAUUACUAUGUUACUAUUGUGGUUUCUACCUGCGAGGUGUGGUAACUAGGUGUGUUGUACAUUGUAUUCGUGCUGCACCUACGUAAUAAGGAGGUUGUAAAAUCAAAUGGUGGUAAAACAAUGUUCUUAUGUGGUUAAACAGUUUGUUAUUAUUUUGCUUGCUGAGAUGUGUCAUCUCACUCUUGCAUUACUCAAUGCAGGUACUUGAUACAUGUUGGGAAUGAGGGGAGUAGCAGCACGUCCACUUUCACUCUCAUAAUAAUGCUGCCAGGCG